Molecule: long non-coding RNA, 792 nt
Filed under: Homo sapiens (human)
Lineage: Eukaryota; Metazoa; Chordata; Mammalia; Primates; Hominidae
Description: HSALNT0083480
Source: RNAcentral
UCUAUCAGGGUUGUAAUUUGUUUAAAAGCAGAAGCAACAUGGAAAUGCACACUUGUAUUUCCUGUGUCAAAACAGGCAAAUAAACCUUUGGAAGUGGGCCUGAUGGGGAAGAGCAAAGGGCACCCUGAGAGCAGUUGCCAGCCUCUCAGCAGUUGGAGGUAGGACAGAGAGGAAAAGGAGCAAAAACAAAGCUAUGACUGCUGCCAGUUAAACACAUUCCAUAGGCCACAUUCCAGCUAAUUAAAAUUCCUCAUUAUUGAUUCUGAUGUUCAGUGUGGACCCUGCUGUCCACGUGCCUAUAAGUUUUCUGGGCCUUGUUUGUGUCGGGGAGAUGUCCACAGACUCAGUGCCACAUCACGUCUCAGCCACCGACCACACAGACGCCCACAGUGACCCAGCUCCUUACCGAAGGCACAGGAUGAGGAGAAGGUGGAUUUGAAUAAAAGUAUGUUGUUCUGACGGUAAACAGCACUUUUAUAGAAAGUGGGAAGUUACCCAUGGAGUGCCCACUUUUUGCUGGACAAAUAUUUCCCUUACUUCCAGAAGCUGCAUUCACUUCCACUGAGGAUCACUCUGUUUCCGAGGUCACCAGUUCACAUGGACACAUGGAAGUGUGAGGACACUCCCUGGCUGGACCGACAGGCUGCGCACAUGACAUCGCUCUCACAGGGGCCCGUCCUUGUGACUGAGGAGGUGGCCAGUGCCAGUUAUCUUCCGUGUGUCCUAUAAGCCCAUUGAAAUCUUAGUGAGCUGCUUGCAGUAUGUACAGCCUGCCGGGGCUCAGAAUCUGCC